Bombus huntii is the source of this 3418-nucleotide long non-coding RNA. RefSeq lists it as uncharacterized. The transcript is spliced from 2 exons. Lineage: Eukaryota; Metazoa; Arthropoda; Insecta; Hymenoptera; Apidae. The record is from RefSeq and is a predicted model, not a curated record.
AUAAAUUUGAAUUUCGCAUCUGUGCUCGCUGUUAACGUUCAACGCCGGACUGUAUCAUUUUACGAUUAUGUUUCGAAAGAAGUUCGCGAUAACUGUGUGUCGAUAAGCAAGUGUCCUUUUACGUUUGUUACCGCCAUUGGUAAAAAAGACAGUGGAAGGAGAUCUGCAUUUUGAAGUAAAUUUUUAUUAAAGUUGGGUUUAUUAUAUUACGCUCACUAAAAUGAAAUCAAUGCCGUAAUUACGAUAAUUUAUUCUAUUUAACAUUUGUAUUGUAAAUGCUCCUUUUUUCUUCCGUUCAAUAAGCCUUGUGAGAUAUGUACAGUUUGCACGUGCAAUUAGCGUACAUUGCUAAUUGGACAGCGUUGUGAACACUUGUCGAUAUUCCAAUUGCUGGAUUACGUAAUAUAGCGAGAAAAGUUUCGUGAGAUAAAUAGGAACUGUAGAGUGCAAUUUGAUCACCGUGUGACUGUCCGAGGGUUCGUUGGAAGUUGUAAACACUUUCGGCUAAGAAAUAUACGUUUUUUACCGAUUGACCUAAGCUUCGUUUUUUCCCUUUUUAAGAAAUCUUACAAAAUUCUGAGAAUGUCACAAUAUCUCCUUUGAUAUCCUCGUAACAAAAGGUUGGACUUCAGAAUAAGAUACAAUGUGUACGAUGCUAUACACAAUUUAAUAAUCUUCAUCAUAAAUAGUUUUUCAAUCGCAUUUUAUUCCUCGUUGUUUGCAAUGCUAACGAUAGUUUAAACUUCACGAGUAAUGCUUGUCAUAGAAACAAAGAACACAAAUAUAUACUUCAUCAUUCUAUGUUUAAUUAAUUUCCUAUCAAAUAUUUAUAUGUGUAUAUAUGCACAUACAUUGUAAAUAUUUGUUUUUAUACGAAAAUAAUUCAAUUUCAAAUGUGGGGGUAUAAUAAUUAUUAUAAUUAAUAUAUAUAAUAUAUAUAAUUUAUCUAAAAUACAGUAUAUAUAUAGAUCUUUAUUUUAUGUUUAUAUUAUGUUACAUAUAUAUAUAUAUUGUAUUUUAUAUAAAAAAUAUUGAUUGAUUGAGUGGUAAUAUUAUCCAUUAACUUUUUCCCUGUCAAUUGUCACCAACUAUCUGCUACAUGACUGAACGAUAACAAUAAACAAUUAAAGAAGAAACCAGCCGUAACGCGCGAGUAUCGAACGCAAGUGAACUUUACGAUGGAAAUAUUCAAAUCUUGAUAUCAGCUAUCGUCGAUAAUUAUGACAAGUUCUGAGAAGAAAAAAACGUAAGCGUACAUAAAUUUUGCAUACGCAAACGAUUACAUAAAUGUUGUAAGAGUUCAACUAACAGUUUAUUCGUAAGCUUCGAGAUUAGUAAUAUUUCAUUGCGAAGCAAACGAUGCAAAAAGACGGAGAAUGUCAUCAACGAAAAUAACAUUCCAAGAACUAUUACUGCUGCUAUUGACGAUAAUCCAACGUGGAUGGAAAAAGAAAUAUCGCAUAAUUCAGCAAGCGUUAGUGUCUUCGGGGUCUACGCUGUACACCUGAUGCAUAGCCUACAUGCUGACCAACUACUGUAACUAUUUGACGAAUAUCCACAGAUGAUGCAGCAAUUCUAGCCACCGACGAAUAUCCUAAGGUUGCGUCGACAUCAUUGCAGCAACACAGGCUAAGUCAGUGGAGAAUGGAAAUAAAUACUGACAAAUGGACAUGUUACGUUUGCCUUGAAUUUACCAUAACCACGUCGCACUUAAUAAGUGCAUUAUAUAAGUGCAUUAUAUUAAUCAACUGGUUGACCAUUUUGGGUUACGUCUUGACCGCAAGGUAACAUGGAACCAGCAAACGACAAAGAGACCCAGCAAAUUCGACUCUUAGGAGGAAAGCAACGUUCUGGUUGACCGGUGGACGUUCUAAGUUCAGCAUAGAAGCAUAGUCACUUGUACAUAAGCGCAUCAUGAAACCAAUCCUGGCAGCCAAUUAUGGGGCAUGGAAGCGAAAAGCCUACACAGCAAAGUGUGCGGUUCUUCAGCCAGGACCAAGCCAAGAGAAAUCCUCAGGACGAUAGAAAACGCAACACAAUUGCUACGUUGGAAACGACGGAAUUCGUGAAAAUCUGUGGACAAACUGUGUUACAGUUUGCAGGUGACGUGGCUGUGCAGCCAGUGCAGUUCAAGACUACUGGACCAUCCCAUCUUGGUAGCCAGGGACCUACGCUCACUCAAUCAGCCUCGCAAAGUCCGAAGAGGACAUGUUGGUUACAUCGACAACAAGUUAUCGGCGAGAAACACUUACGCAUUGACGCCAAUGAAAUAUAAUUUCGUAUGGACCCCGUCCAAAAGGAUAGUUGUUCACUUACCGAAUGUCUGUGUCGUGAAUGUGUUUUGAACAGACUGUGAAGACUCUAGGAUACUAGAAAACGAAAAAGGAGAAGAUUCAACAAGCCACUCUAAUCGUGUCUACGUUACUUGAUUCAAAUGGAAAAAAUGGCAAAGGAGGUAGAUACAAGCCAUUUUGAUCGGUGACCCAAAAACAAACGACGAUCGAGAGACCUCGUGAUAUUGCUUCUGACGUUGGUUUGGAAAAAAUCGAAGAUGCAAAACACGCGUCAAAGGAAAGAGCGAGAUGCAAAAGACGAAAUGACGCUGACCCUUCGAUGGUCAUCUGCAAGACUCGCUCCUUAUUAUUCCGUGCAAGCUAGCGAUGUGUUGAUGCGAGAUGAAGUUGACGUGGAAUUACCAAGGAAACGACGAGAGCCGGCGAACAAAUGCAAGAGAAAUCCUCAUGGACACUCUGUUGCUGCGAGGAUAGCAGAGUAAUGUCCGACAAAAAAGUUAUGAGUCGAGUUAUAUUGACCAGGCUGUGACUGCAGUUCCACUUCUGGGCGCCAUUCCACUACCGCUCGCCAUGGAGACAACCUAACCUCAACCUAACUCCAACCUAACCUCAACGAUCGUCAUCUUUUGACUAUUCUCAAGCAGAUGAACACACUGUCGCUCAAUUAGUCUCAUUAAUUAGAUGUAACAUUUGGGGAAAGAUGGGACAUUUCGGUGGACGCUAACUUUUAGAUAAAAUGGACGUACGGAUGGAGGACAGAGCGACAAUGUUGGACCGGAGAAUGAGCGCAGAUGGUUGUUGAAGUAACUGCACGGAAGCAAUGGGCUAUCGUAAAGCAGUUGCAGCUUUUAAUGUCCUGAAAACUGCAUUGGACAGGAAGGUGGGUCUCUGUCGAGAAAGUCCUCGAUAGUUGUUGAGGACUAGUUUAGAACCUUCCCAAAGUGUAUUUUCACUGGAGGAGGAGGAAGCAUUAGUAUUUGUGUGAGAUGGAAGACCUAUUAUUUGGUUAACAACAAUUAAUAGCAAUUUAUGCGCCCCAUUGUGCAUUUUUUUUACACUUUUCAUGUCAAGUUUUGAAAGUUUAUUUUAAGAUAAUUCAAUAAACAGAUAUUGGCGCUAGACAA